Molecule: long non-coding RNA, 249 nt
Filed under: Ananas comosus (pineapple)
Lineage: Eukaryota; Viridiplantae; Streptophyta; Magnoliopsida; Poales; Bromeliaceae
Description: long non-coding RNA (ACOM_LNC033094)
Source: RNAcentral
UAUUAAAAAAUAGCACUUCCAUCCAUCUAUUUUAUAUUAAAAUUUAAAUUUGAGUUUAAAUCGUGAAUUAAAUUUAAUUUUUGAUUUUUGAUAUCAAAUCUAUUCAUUUAUUUUAUAUUAAAAUUUAGAUUUAAUAUUGUAGAUAUUUUCUAAUAAAAUAUAACAUAUAAAUUUACAAAAUAUUUUACUCUAAAUUUUUUAAUAAUAUGAUUUAUAAAUUUUAAUUAAUUUAAAAUAAAUUAAAAUAAU